UUUUGCUGACGACCGGCGCACGGGUGCGUAACGCGUAUGCAAUCUACCUUAUACUGGAGGAUAGCCCAGAGAAAUUUGGAUUAACACUUCAUAGUAUGUUUACCUCGCAUGGGGAAAACAUUAAAGGUUACGGUAUAAGAUGAGCAUGCGUCCUAUUAGCUAGAUGGUGUGGUAACGGCACACCAUGGCAACGAUAGGUAGGGGCCCUGAGAGGGGGAUCCCCCACACUGGUACUGAGACACGGACCAGACUCCUACGGGAGGCAGCAGUGAGGAAUAUUGGACAAUGGAGGCAACUCUGAUCCAGCCAUGCCGCGUGCAGGAAGACUGCCCUAUGGGUUGUAAACUGCUUUUAUACGGGAAGAAACGACUCUACGUGUAGAGUUUUGACGGUACCGUAAGAAUAAGGAUCGGCUAACUCCGUGCCAGCAGCCGCGGUAAUACGGAGGAUCCAAGCGUUAUCCGGAAUCAUUGGGUUUAAAGGGUCCGUAGGUGGAUAAUUAAGUCAGAGGUGAAAGUCUGCGGCUCAACCGUAGAAUUGCCUUUGAAACUGGUUAUCUUGAAUUAUUAUGAAGUAGUUAGAAUAUGUAGUGUAGCGGUGAAAUGCAUAGAUAUUACAUAGAAUACCAAUUGCGAAGGCAGAUUACUAAUAAUAUAUUGACACUGAUGGACGAAAGCGUGGGGAGCGAACGGGAUUAGAUACCCCGGUAGUCCACGCCGUAAACGAUGGAUACUAGCUGUUCGGCCUUCGG
Molecule: ribosomal RNA, 751 nt
Filed under: Gaetbulibacter sp.
Lineage: Bacteria; Pseudomonadati; Bacteroidota; Flavobacteriia; Flavobacteriales; Flavobacteriaceae
Description: bacterial SSU rRNA
Rfam family: Bacterial small subunit ribosomal RNA
Source: RNAcentral